RNAcentral lists this ribosomal RNA (465 nucleotides) under Vreelandella stevensii. RNAcentral describes it as "partial 16S ribosomal RNA". It matches the Rfam family "Bacterial small subunit ribosomal RNA", at positions 338 to 795 of the family's 1533-position model. Lineage: Bacteria; Pseudomonadati; Pseudomonadota; Gammaproteobacteria; Oceanospirillales; Halomonadaceae. The record is from RNAcentral.
CCUACGGGAGGCAGCAGUGGGGAAUAUUGGACAAUGGGGGCAACCCUGAUCCAGCCAUGCCGCGUGUGUGAAGAAGGCCCUCGGGUUGUAAAGCACUUUCAGUGAGGAAGAACGCCUGGUGGUUAAUACCCAUCAGGAAAGACAUCACUCACAGAAGAAGCACCGGCUAACUCCGUGCCAGCAGCCGCGGUAAUACGGAGGGUGCGAGCGUUAAUCGGAAUUACUGGGCGUAAAGCGCGCGUAGGUGGCUUGAUAAGCCGGUUGUGAAAGCCCCGGGCUCAACCUGGGAACGGCAUCCGGAACUGUCAAGCUAGAGUGCAGGAGAGGAAGGUAGAAUUCCCGGUGUAGCGGUGAAAUGCGUAGAGAUCGGGAGGAAUACCAGUGGCGAAGGCGGCCUUCUGGACUGACACUGACACUGAGGUGCGAAAUCGUGGGUAGCAAACAGGAUUAGAUACCCUUGUAGUC